This 253-nucleotide ribosomal RNA is filed under the name uncultured bacterium. RNAcentral describes it as "partial 16S ribosomal RNA". It matches the Rfam family "Bacterial small subunit ribosomal RNA", at positions 524 to 776 of the family's 1533-position model. The record is from RNAcentral.
UACGUAGGGGGCCAGCGUUGUCCGGAAUCAUUGGGCGUAAAGCGCGCGUAGGCGGUCAGGUAAGUCCGGUGUGAAAGUCAAAGGCUCAACCUUUGAAUGCCGCUGGAAACUGCCUGACUUGAGUCCGGUAGGGGCGAGUGGAAUUCCUGGUGUAGCGGUGAAAUGCGCAGAUAUCAGGAGGAACACCAAUGGCGAAGGCAGCUCGCUGGAACGGUACUGACGCUGAGGCGCGAAAGCUAGGGGAGCAAACGGG